Long non-coding RNA from Gopherus evgoodei (Goodes thornscrub tortoise), 192 nucleotides. RefSeq lists it as uncharacterized. The transcript is spliced from 3 exons. NCBI's taxonomy places the organism in Eukaryota, Metazoa, Chordata, Testudines, Testudinidae. The record is from RefSeq and is a predicted model, not a curated record.
CAGCUCCAAAGAAACUACGGUAACCAGAUGUCCUGAUUUUAUAGGGACAGUCCUGAUAGUUGGAGCUUUGUCUUAUCUAAGUGCUAAUUACCCCCUAUCCUUGUCCCGAUUUUUCACCCUUGCUAUCUGGUCACCCUAUUGUUGAGGAGGGGAUAGAUGGAGGCCGCUGUGUUUACAGCGGUGGGGGAUUAC